Molecule: long non-coding RNA, 2810 nt
Organism: Myotis daubentonii (Daubenton's bat)
Lineage: Eukaryota; Metazoa; Chordata; Mammalia; Chiroptera; Vespertilionidae
Source: RefSeq, a predicted model, not a curated record
UCCUACUUCAGGGCCUUUGCACUGCCUGUUCCCUCUGCCUGGAACCUUCUUCUUUCAGAUAUUCACAUGGCUCACUCCCUCACCUCCUUCAAGCUUUGGUCAAACAUCAGCCUCUGAGGAAAAGUUCCCCUGAUUUAUCCUUACAACCCCAUCCCAAACCCAUCUCUCUGCCUCAUAUUUUAUCACCUAACAUACUGUUUAACAUACAUUGCACCUAUCUUGUCUACUGUUUAUUCUCUCCCAUCACCCCCCCCCCCCCAUUGGAUUUAAGCUCACUGAUAUGUCUGAAGGGUCAAAAACAAUGAGAACAAAGCCUUAUAACACAACAGGUAUGAGACUGCAGAGGUGCCGCAGGCUCUGAGGAGGCCCCAUUCCAGCUGCACGUGUCCAAUCCAGGGCAAAUGCUCCCAGGAAGAGGGGGCUUCCAUGUGCUCAUAUGGCUGCUCUCAGUCCCACAGCGAUAGCCUGUCAGAAUGGAUGGAAGCUAAGAGCACCCAGGCCAGCCUUCCUUCCAGACCCACCAGCUUGCAACCAGCAGACGAGAUAGGCCUGCUCCUUUCUGCCUCCCUGAUCUCUAGCCCAGUAGUUGCUCAGUGCAGCUUUGAACUAGGACAACCUCCUACUUUACAGCUGGAGAAAUGUAGGCCCAAGAGGGGAAAGGAUUUUUACAAUUCUAGGCCAGAAUCAGAAACUGAACCCAGAUUUCCUUUCUCCUAGCCCAGGGCUUUCCCCACGAUGGUGGGAGGGGUGAAGAAAAAGUUAUAUGCAGCCUGGCCAGUGUUGCUCAGUGGUUGAGCAUUGACCUAUGAAUCACAAGGUCAUGGUUCGACUCCCAGUCAGGGUACAUGCCUGGGUUGCGGGCUGGAUCACCAGUGUGGGUCAUGCAGGAGGCGGCCGAUCAAUGAUUCUCUGCCAUCAUUGAUGUUUCUAUCUCUCUCUCCCUCUCUAUUCCUCUCUGAAAUCAAUAAAAUGGAUAUUGUUUUUUUUUAAAUUUUAAGUUAUAUGCAGAAAAUUGAAGCCUCAUAGAAGUGCUCCAGGCCCAGCCUCUGCCCCCACUCCAAGCUCACCUACCAAUGCCAAGCCAUAGAGAAUCCAAGCUCUGCCCACUCACCUCUGUCCACAACGAGGAAGGCAGCCAAGGCCAGGGCGACCAGCCACAGACGGACGGCCAUGCUGAUCCUGGUUGGUGUGGGCUCAGCUAGUGAAGCCUGGGCCAGGGGAAGGAUGGGGGCCUGUUUAUAGUGCUGAGCCCUCCCCUUAUCUUAUCUGGGGCCAGAUGGAGAGGCCAGGAGUGGCAUCCUGAGUAAUCUCUGCACCUUGGCAUCCGGAAAGGGCUUUCUCUACGCAGAGAUGCUGAGCUGAGGUGGGGUGGGACUGUGUUUAUUGGGCUGGCAGAUUUUCAAAUUGAGGAAAAGUUGGACAACUCACAAAGUUGAUGCCAGUCUGAGGGCUGGAGCAAGAGGGAAAGGGAAAUUGGAAGUAGAAAGAGAAAAACAGAGAAACCAAGUCAGAAGAGAGAGAGAGAGAGAGAGAGAGAGAGAGAGAGAGAGAGAGAGAGAAGGCAGUUCAGAAAGAAAGAGGAAAAAGCAACUGGAAGGUGGCAGGAGGCAGAGAAAAGGGGCUGGAAUGCCUCUACCAAAAAAAAAAAAAAAAAAAAAAAAGGAGACAUAUGUAAUACUCUUUGUAAUACUUUAAGCAAUAAAACAAUUUUAAAAAAAGAAUUGUAAAAAAAAAAAAUAAAAAUAAAACAGCCUCAGUUUACCUGUGCACAAAAUGGGGGUGAUAAUUCUGGCUCUGUCUACCUCAUAGGGCUGCUGUGAAGAUGAGAGUGUUGAUAGCAGAUGGGAAAAUAUUUUGCAGUGUAUGAAAUGAGCUAUAAAGACAGAUCCUCCAAAAGAAACUCAUUUGUCAAUGAUCCUCUCCCCAGAGGUAUCGUCAACCAGGGAAGAUGAACUCUUACCACAGGCGAGAAGAGUAGAAGUCAACAUCACACAUGAAAGAUAAACUGUCACAAACCAUCAUACUGCCAAUCUCUUCUUCUGUCUUUCCUAAAAAUAAUAUCCUCUCCCCUAAGAGGCCUACACCGCCCUCCUCUUUCCUUAUUACAAUGGUAUUUAAUCCUGAAUUCUAAACCACCUCUGGGAGUUACUCAUUUCCCAUGUAUACAUGAGGUAUACAUGUUAAGAAACUUCUGCUUGUUUUUCUCUAGUUAAUCUGUCUUUUAUUAUAGGGAUCUCAGCUAAGAACUCAAAAGGGUAGAGAUACAAGUAUUUUUCCUCCCCUACAACAGCAAAACAAAAUGUGGAAAUAAAAACACUGCCUUUCAGCUUAUAUGUUUGCCCCUGACCCCAGGGGAGCAUAUGUGUGAUGCAUCCCCAGUAGGGGGUACCUGUCGCCAGUGGUGGAGUCCCAUAUUUAUUCAAGGACUGGGUUGGUUCUGACUCAACUGUUUCCCAGCAUCCUAUUCCAUGUGGCCACCUAACCCUGGCUGAGAGACCAAGAACUCCCCAUAUCUCCAUAUUGGUGCUCAGGACAAUCAAUGGGAAUCACUGUAGCAACCCCACUCCUACAAGACACCCUCUUCCAAAGGGGUCUUGCCUUACCUCCUCCUACUUUAUUCUGAAGGAGAAGUAACUCAGAGUUGUUUGUGGAGGUUCCGACACUAACAAGGACAAGGCAUAUCCUGAGGUGGAUGCCUUGGUUGGGUUUUGCUAGGGUCAGUCUGGUCUGUUCCUUCCUGAUAACGUGGUCAGAACAUGAUGUAUGUGUUCUCUUAAAAACAAUAAAUACAAUUCUGGCUACAAAAAUAA